UACGUAGGUGGCGAGCGUUAUCCGGAAUUAUUGGGCGUAAAGAGCGCGCAGGUGGUUGAUUAAGUCUGAUGUGAAAGCCCACGGCUUAACCGUGGAGGGUCAUUGGAAACUGGUCAACUUGAGUGCAGAAGAGGGAAGUGGAAUUCCAUGUGUAGCGGUGAAAUGCGUAGAUAUUAGGAGGAACACCAGUGGCGAAGGCGACUUUCUGGACUGUAACUGACACUGAGGUACGAAAGCGUGGGUAGCAAACAGGAUUAGAUACCCGCGUAGU
RNAcentral lists this ribosomal RNA (271 nucleotides) under uncultured prokaryote. RNAcentral's name for it is "partial 16S ribosomal RNA". It matches the Rfam family "Bacterial small subunit ribosomal RNA", at positions 524 to 794 of the family's 1533-position model. The record is from RNAcentral.